Molecule: long non-coding RNA, 1436 nt
Filed under: Gossypium barbadense (sea-island cotton)
Lineage: Eukaryota; Viridiplantae; Streptophyta; Magnoliopsida; Malvales; Malvaceae
Description: long non-coding RNA (GBAR_LNC022721)
Source: RNAcentral
GUAAAUUUCUUUGGCAAGUUUAGUGCAUGAUGAUUUCCAAGUUUGGAGAGGAGAACCUUCUGGUAACUUUUUUAUUCGAAGUGCCUACAAACUAUUACAGGAGGCUACUCUAAAUCCUAUUAGUAUACAUACUGAAACUAAAGCUUGUUACAAAAAAUUAUAGAAUUUACAGAUUCCCCCGAAAGUUAAAAUUACAAUAUGGAGGAUAUCUUGGAAUUACAUCCCAACUUUUGUUAAUCUAAAGAUAAGAAGAGUAGUUGUUGAUGCUCGCUGUCCUCGGUGUAAUUAGGAUGAGGAGGAUAGUAAUCAUGUAUCUUGUCGAUUCCCUACAACGACAGAAGUAUGGCGGUUUUUAAAGUUUUCUUGGAUACUUUAUUCUAACAUCGACAGUGUAUGGAACUGGCUAACUUGGGUUUUCAGCCAAGGGACAAAUAAACAAUAUCGCCUUUUUUGCUGUGGGCUUUGGAUAAUUUGGACAAGCCGUAAUAAGUUAAUAUACGAAAAUAAACAAACAACAAGCAAGGAUAUCUUAACACAAAUCUCAAGAUACAUUUCAGAAUUAAGAAGAGUUGAGAAGAAGACACUUAUCUUAGAGGCAAGCAGGGGUCCUAAGUCUGACAAAAGGAGAACGAGUGUGGCGAUUUACUUUGAUGCGGCUUUUGAUUAACAAUUCUUAAGAUCGGCCUCGGGGCUAGUAGUUCGAAAUAUGGGGGGUAAAAUAUUAGCUUCCAAGUCAGUCAUCCAUUCCAAUAUUGCAACUCCAUUUGCGGCAAAGGCACAUGCAAGGUUACAAGCCGUAAAAUUAGAGAUCUCUAUGGGGUUUAAUGUUUUGCAAAUAAUAAGAGAUUCAAGAAUGGUGAUUACAAAAUGCCAAAGUUCAGAAUAUGACAGAUUGACUAUCGGAGCAAUCAUUAGAGAUAUUCAAAACACAAAAAUCCAUUUUCAAUAUCUCAAUUUUCAUUUUAUUCCCAGAUAAAAAACACAUUCGCUCAUUUUGUUACAGUGGAGGCACUAAAGAAGGGAGAAGGCCAUUACCUAGUUGGAGAUAUUCCCAGCUCUGCUUGUUGCGCAGUGGAGAGGAAGCGUCCACGACACCAGAUUGAAAGAGAAUAUACGAUUGUUUGAAUUUUAUAACAGAAGACUAAAAGAUUUAUAGAGGUAUACUACCAUUAAAGUUGUGUCGGUGAUUGGAAAUGAUAAUACCUUAUGGAGGCCAGCUGUUACUGUCGACUGAAAUUCUUAAAUUAGGAUUCCUUUUAUUUAUUUGAUUUUUUUAGUUUAUUUUGGGCCAACCGUUAGAGGCCUAGUCUGUUUUCAUGCAUUUUUUAGGUCUGCUUUAUUGGACUCAAACCGACUUUGCAGUCUUAGCUUAGGUCUUUAUUUCAAUAUAAUUCAGUCGAUUUCUUCAAAAAAAACACACACACAUUAUAUUGAAG